RNAcentral lists this transfer RNA (71 nucleotides) under Synapturanus sp. AF238. RNAcentral describes it as "tRNA-Glu". It matches the Rfam family "tRNA". From Rfam's summary of the family: Transfer RNA (tRNA) molecules are approximately 80 nucleotides in length. Their secondary structure includes four short double-helical elements and three loops (D, anti-codon, and T loops). Further hydrogen bonds mediate the characteristic L-shaped molecular structure. tRNAs have two regions of fundamental functional importance: the anti-codon, which is responsible for specific mRNA codon recognition, and the 3' end, to which the tRNAs corresponding amino acid is attached (by aminoacyl-tRNA synthetases). tRNAs cope with the degeneracy of the genetic code in two manners: having more than one tRNA (with a specific anti-codon) for a particular amino acid; and 'wobble' base-pairing, i.e. permitting non-standard base-pairing at the 3rd anti-codon position. Lineage: Eukaryota; Metazoa; Chordata; Amphibia; Anura; Microhylidae. The record is from RNAcentral.
UAGUUUUUGUAGUUGAAUUACAACGGUAGUUUUUCAGACUUCAGGUGUGGGUUAGAGUCCCAGUAAGAAUA